Thalassophryne amazonica is the source of this 196-nucleotide long non-coding RNA. RefSeq lists it as uncharacterized. The transcript has 3 exons. NCBI's taxonomy places the organism in Eukaryota, Metazoa, Chordata, Actinopteri, Batrachoidiformes, Batrachoididae. The record is from RefSeq and is a predicted model, not a curated record.
CCUUUUCCCGAACCCAUCCCUUAGAUUCCACCUGUUUUGUCCUCUGACAAACAUGCAGUCAACAGGAAUCCCACCGUGGAGCCUUUUCCAGAAGGCCAUGAAGAGCGUCAUGUUUGGUAUGGGCUGCUUCUGGGGAGUUGAGAGGCUUUUUUGGCAAAUGCCAACUGUUUUUUUCCACUCAGGUGGGCCACGCCGG